GGACUACUAGGGUUUCUAAUCCUGUUUGCUCCCCACGCUUUCGUGUCUCAGCGUCAGUCCUUGGCUAGUAGCUCGCCUUCGCCACUGAUGUUCUUCCAGAUAUCUACAGAUUUCACCCCUACACCUGGAAUUCCAGCUACCCCUCCAGAACUCUAGUCACCCAGUUUCCAACGCGUUCCUCGAGUUAAGCUCGAGUCUUUCACGCCAGACUUAGAUAACCGCCUGCACACCCUUUACGCCCAAUAAUUCCGAACAACGCUCGCCCCAUACGUGUUACCGCGGCUGCUGGCAC
This 292-nucleotide ribosomal RNA is filed under the name uncultured bacterium. RNAcentral describes it as "partial 16S ribosomal RNA". The record is from RNAcentral.